Molecule: microRNA precursor, 70 nt
Filed under: Olea europaea subsp. europaea
Lineage: Eukaryota; Viridiplantae; Streptophyta; Magnoliopsida; Lamiales; Oleaceae
Source: RNAcentral
AAAUGGUUAGUGGGGAGUCAAAAUGCUAAGUGUUCAACACUUAGCAUUUUGACUCCCCACUAACCAUUUU